This 497-nucleotide ribosomal RNA is filed under the name uncultured bacterium. RNAcentral describes it as "partial 16S ribosomal RNA". It matches the Rfam family "Bacterial small subunit ribosomal RNA", at positions 28 to 507 of the family's 1533-position model. The record is from RNAcentral.
GAUGAACGCUGGCGGCGUGCCUAAUACAUGCAAGUCGAGCGAACAGACGAGGAGCUUGCUCCUCUGACGUUAGCGGCGGACGGGUGAGUAACACGUGGAUAACCUACCUAUAAGACUGGGAUAACUUCGGGAAACCGGAGCUAAUACCGGAUAAUAUAUUGAACCGCAUGGUUCAAUAGUGAAAGACGGUUUUGCUGUCACUUAUAGAUGGAUCCGCGCCGCAUUAGCUAGUUGGUAAGGUAACGGCUUACCAAGGCAACGAUGCGUAGCCGACCUGAGAGGGUGAUCGGCCACACGGGAACUGCGACACGGUCCAGACUCCUACGGGAGGCAGCAGUAGGGAAUCUUCCGCAAUGGGCGAAAGCCUGACGGAGCAACGCCGCGUGAGUGAUGAAGGUCUUCGGAUCGUAAAACUCUGUUAUUAGGGAAGAACAAAUGUGUAAGUAACUAUGCACGUCUUGACGGUACCUAAUCAGAAAGCCACGGCUAACUACGUG